GUGGGGAAUCUUGCGCAAUGGGCGAAAGCCUGACGCAGCCAUGCCGCGUGAAUGAUGAAGGUCUUAGGAUUGUAAAAUUCUUUCACCGGGGACGAUAAUGACGGUACCCGGAGAAGAAGCUCCGGCUAACUUCGUGCCAGCAGCCGCGGUAAUACGAAGGGGGCUAGCGUUGCUCGGAAUUACUGGGCGUAAAGGGCGCGUAGGCGGACAGCUUAGUCAGAGGUGAAAGCCCAGGGCUCAACCUUGGAAUUGCCUUUGAUACUGGCUGUCUUGAGUUUGGGAGAGUUGAGUGGAACUCCGAGUGUAGAGGUGAAAUUCGUAGAUAUUCGGAAGAACACCAGUGGCGAAGGCGACUCACUGGCCCAAUACUGACGCUGAGGCGCGAAAGCGUGGGGAGCAAACAGGAUUAGAAACCCUGGUAGUCC
This 425-nucleotide ribosomal RNA is filed under the name uncultured bacterium. RNAcentral's name for it is "partial 16S ribosomal RNA". It matches the Rfam family "Bacterial small subunit ribosomal RNA", at positions 354 to 796 of the family's 1533-position model. The record is from RNAcentral.